Molecule: small nuclear RNA, 267 nt
Filed under: Cavia porcellus (domestic guinea pig)
Lineage: Eukaryota; Metazoa; Chordata; Mammalia; Rodentia; Caviidae
Description: 7SK RNA (ENSCPOG00000028591.2)
Rfam family: 7SK RNA
About the family: 7SK was discovered as an abundant small nuclear RNA in the mid-70s but a possible function has only recently been suggested.
Source: Rfam by way of RNAcentral
GGGUUGAGUCAUUCGGCGGGUCUGGCUAGGCCAGUGAUCCUUGCUCCCUCAUGGCUCAUGUGUAUUCCUGUGGAAGCUGCAUACUCAGAGAAAGAGGAGGACCACCUCGGACAGAGGAGGACCAUUCCCUCAGUCAAAGGAUCAAAGGUUUCACUCUCCCCUGCUGGAACCUCUUAUACGCAUUCAAGAACUGGAUAGGGAAGGAGGAGAGAGAAGAGGGCAUGAAUAAGAUAUAAGAUGUGUAAUGUACAAGCAUCAAAUAUUCAU